Molecule: ribosomal RNA, 253 nt
Filed under: uncultured bacterium
Lineage: Bacteria
Description: partial 16S ribosomal RNA
Rfam family: Bacterial small subunit ribosomal RNA
Source: RNAcentral
UACGUAGGGUGCAAGCGUUAAUCGGAAUUACUGGGCGUAAAGCGUGCGCAGGCGGUUUUGUAAGUCUGUUGUGAAAUCCCCGGGCUUAACCUGGGAAUGGCAUUGGUGACUGCACGGCUAGAGUGUGUCAGAGGGGGGUAGAAUUCCACGUGUAGCAGUGAAAUGCGUAGAGAUGUGGAGGAAUACCGAUGGCGAAGGCAGCCCCCUGGGAUAACACUGACGCUCAUGCACGAAAGCGUGGGGAGCAAACAGG